UUAUUUCUUGUAUUUGAUUCAGACACAUAGGCUUAUUGCUGCAUAAAAGCGACGCCGAAGCGCCGAAGCACAUGUUGCUUCCACAGGUUUGAAGGUUGAAGGCCUCAUUGGCCAUUCAGUAAUGAUCCCUCCGCAGGUUCACCUACGGAGA
RNAcentral lists this unclassified non-coding RNA (151 nucleotides) under uncultured fungus. RNAcentral describes it as "sequence contains ITS1". The record is from RNAcentral. Lineage: Eukaryota; Fungi.